GCCAGUGUAGCUCAGCUGGCAGAGCGAAUCCUUCGUAAGGAUUAGGCCAAGGGUUCAAAUCCCUUCACUGGCU
RNAcentral lists this transfer RNA (73 nucleotides) under Halocatena salina. It matches the Rfam family "tRNA". From Rfam's summary of the family: Transfer RNA (tRNA) molecules are approximately 80 nucleotides in length. Their secondary structure includes four short double-helical elements and three loops (D, anti-codon, and T loops). Lineage: Archaea; Methanobacteriati; Methanobacteriota; Halobacteria; Halobacteriales; Natronomonadaceae. The record is from Rfam by way of RNAcentral.